GGAUGUGAAGGUGCUCUUGCUGUGACAUCUGUCACCCCGUUGAUGGACUGGGUUGAUUUGGUUAAUCUGGCUUGCUAUGAGAAUGUCCCCGUCCUCCCUCCACUUUAUGUGUGUCCCUCCUGAAGCUACAUGCUUGAUGGAAGAAGAGACCAUCCCUUAUAUAAGAAGUGCACCAUUCUUCAGUCAAGCAUAUAUAUCACUACUUUGAUUCUUUAAAACAAGAGUAGUUGCACACCAGAAAAUUAUGGUGCUACAGGUCUUU
RNAcentral lists this small RNA (262 nucleotides) under Salvator merianae (Argentine black and white tegu). RNAcentral describes it as "7SK RNA (ENSSMRG00000021638.1)". The stretch from base 1 to 198 matches the Rfam family "7SK RNA". From Rfam's summary of the family: 7SK was discovered as an abundant small nuclear RNA in the mid-70s but a possible function has only recently been suggested. Two independent studies have found that 7SK RNA binds the CDK9/cyclin T complex (known as elongation factor P-TEFb). Lineage: Eukaryota; Metazoa; Chordata; Lepidosauria; Squamata; Teiidae. The record is from RNAcentral.